AGUGAACGCUGGCGGUAGGCCUAACACAUGCAAGUCGAACGGCAGCGCAGUAAGAGCUUGCUCUUACGGGUGGCGAGUGGCGGACGGGUGAGGAAUACAUCGGAAUCUACUUUUUCGUGGGGGAUAACGUAGGGAAACUUACGCUAAUACCGCAUACGACCUACGGGGGAAAGCAGGGGAUCUUCGGACCUUGCGCGAUUGAAUGAGCCGGUGUCGGAUUAGCUAGUUGGCGGGGGAAAGGCCCACCAAGGCGACGAUCCGUAGCUGGUCUGAGAGGAUGAUCAGCCACACUGGAACUGAGACACGGUCCAGACUCCUACGGGAGGCAGCAGUGGGGAAUAUUGGACAAUGGGCGCAAGCCUGAUCCAGCCAUACCGCGUGGGUGAAGAAGGCCUUCGGGUUGUAAAGCCCUUUUGUUGGGAAAGAAAAGCAGCAGGUUAAUACCCCGCUGUUCUGACGGUACCCAAAGAAUAAGCACCGGCUAACUUCGUG
Molecule: ribosomal RNA, 492 nt
Filed under: uncultured bacterium
Lineage: Bacteria
Description: partial 16S ribosomal RNA
Rfam family: Bacterial small subunit ribosomal RNA
Source: RNAcentral